RNA transcript from Carlito syrichta (Philippine tarsier), 524 nucleotides. It is a transcript of the gene named histone acetyltransferase KAT7 pseudogene, with no coding region annotated. The transcript has a single exon. The record is from RefSeq and is a predicted model, not a curated record. NCBI's taxonomy places the organism in Eukaryota, Metazoa, Chordata, Mammalia, Primates, Tarsiidae.
CAGACAGACCUAUGGGAACACGCGGGAACCUCUCUUGGAAAACCUGACAAGCGAGUACGACUUGGACCUUUUCCGAAGAGCACAAGCCCGAGCUUCAGAGGAUUUGGAGAAGUUGAGGCUACAAGGCCAAAUCACAGAGGGGAGCAACAUGAUUAAAACAAUUGCUUUUGGCCGCUAUGAGCUUGAUACCUGGUACCAUUCUCCCUAUCCUGAAGAAUAUGCACGGCUGGGACGUCUUUACAUGUGUGAAUUCUGUUUAAAAUAUAUGAAGAGCCAAACGAUACUCCGCCGACACAUGGCGAAGUGUGUGUGGAAACACCCACCUGGUGAUGAAAUCUAUCGCAAAGGUUCAAUCUCUGUGUUUGAGGUAGAUGGCAAGAAAAACAAGAUCUACUGCCAAAACCUGUGUCUGUUGGCCAAGCUUUUUCUGGACCACAAGACAUUAUAUUAUGAUGUGGAACCUUUCCUGUUCUAUGUUAUGACAGAAGCGGACAACACUGGGUGUCACCUGAUUGGAUAUUUUU